Molecule: ribosomal RNA, 496 nt
Filed under: uncultured bacterium
Lineage: Bacteria
Description: partial 16S ribosomal RNA
Rfam family: Bacterial small subunit ribosomal RNA
Source: RNAcentral
GAUGAACGCUGGCGGCGUGCCUAAUACAUGCAAGUCGAGCGAACAGACGAGGAGCUUGCUCCUCUGACGUUAGCGGCGGACGGGUGAGUAACACGUGGAUAACCUACCUAUAAGACUGGGAUAACUUCGGGAAACCGGAGCUAAUACCGGAUAAUAUAUUGAACCGCAUGGUUCAAUAGUGAAAGACGGUUUUGCUGUCACUUAUAGAUGGAUCCGCGCCGCAUUAGCUAGUUGGUAAGGUAACGGCUUACCAAGGCAACGAUGCGUAGCCGACCUGAGAGGGUGAUCGGCCACACUGGAACUGAGACACGGUCCAGACUCCUACGGGAGGCAGCAGUAGGGAAUCUUGCGCAAUGGGCGAAAGCUUGACGGAGCAACGCCGCGGGAGUGAUGAAGGUCUUCGGAUCGUAAAACUCUGUUAUUAGGGAAGAACAAAUGUGUAAGUAACUAUGCACGUCUUGACGGUACCUAAUCAGAAAGCCACGGCUACUACGUG